CCUACGGGUGGCAGCAGUGAGGAAUAUUGGUCAAUGGACGAGAGUCUGAACCAGCCAAGUAGCGUGAAGGAUGACUGCCCUAUGGGUUGUAAACUUCUUUUAUAUGGGAAUAAAACGUUCCACGUGUGGGAUUUUGUAUGUACCAUAUGAAUAAGGAUCGGCUAACUCCAGGCCAGCAGCCGCGGUAAUACGGAGGAUCCGAGCGUUAUCCGGAUUUAUUGGGUUUAAAGGGAGCGUAGGUGGAUUGUUAAGUCAGUUGUGAAAGUUUGCGGCUCAACCGUAAAAUUGCAGUUGAAACUGGCAGUCUUGAGUACAGUAGAGGUGGGCGGAAUUCGUGGUGUAGCGGUGAAAUGCUUAGAUAUCACGAAGAACUCCGAUUGCGAAGGCAGUUCACUGGACUGCAACUGACACUGAGGCUCGAAAGUGUGGGUAUCAAACAGGAUUAGAUACCCCGUAGUC
Molecule: ribosomal RNA, 459 nt
Filed under: uncultured bacterium
Lineage: Bacteria
Description: partial 16S ribosomal RNA
Rfam family: Bacterial small subunit ribosomal RNA
Source: RNAcentral